UACGGGGGGUGCAAGCGUUAUUCGGAAUUAUUGGGCGUAAAGAGCGCGUAGGCGGUCUUGUAGGUCAGAUGUGAAAGCCCGGGGCUCAACCCCGGAAGUGCAUUUGAAACCCCAAGACUUGAGUAUGGGAGAGGGUAGUGGAAUUCCUGGUGUAGAGGUGAAAUUCGUAGAUAUCAGGAGGAACACCGGUGGCGAAGGCGACUACCUGGACCAAUACUGACGCUGAGGCGCGAAGGCGUGGGGAGCAAACAGG
RNAcentral lists this ribosomal RNA (253 nucleotides) under uncultured bacterium. Its description in RNAcentral is "partial 16S ribosomal RNA". It matches the Rfam family "Bacterial small subunit ribosomal RNA", at positions 524 to 776 of the family's 1533-position model. The record is from RNAcentral.